Molecule: ribosomal RNA, 797 nt
Filed under: uncultured bacterium
Lineage: Bacteria
Description: bacterial SSU rRNA
Rfam family: Bacterial small subunit ribosomal RNA
Source: RNAcentral
AGAGUUUGAUCAUGGCUCAGGAUGAACGCUAGCGGCAGGCUUAAUACAUGCAAGUCGAGGGGCAGCAGGUUUGUAGCAAUACAGAUGCUGGCGACCGGCAAACGGGUGCGGAACACGUACACAACCUUCCUUUAAGUGGGGAAUAGACCAGGGAAACUUGGAUUAAUACCCCGUAACAUUAUGAAGUGGCAUCACUUUAUAAUUAUAGCUCCGGCGCUUAAUGAUGGGUGUGCGGCUGAUUAGGUAGUUGGCGGGGUAACGGCCCACCAAGCCUGCGAUCAGUAACUGGUGUGAGAGCACGACCAGUCACACGGGCACUGAGACACGGGCCCGACUCCUACGGGAGGCAGCAGUAAGGAAUAUUGGUCAAUGGACGCAAGUCUGAACCAGCCAUGCCGCGUGGAGGAUGAAGGUCCUCUGGAUUGUAAACUUCUUUUAUCUGGGACGAAAAAGGGCCUUUCCAGGUCAACUGACGGUACCAGAUGAAUAAGCACCGGCUAACUCCGUGCCAGCAGCCGCGGUAAUACGGAGGGUGCAAGCGUUAUCCGGAUUCACUGGGUUUAAAGGGUGCGUAGGUGGGCAGGUAAGUCAGUGGUGAAAUCCCCAAGCUUAACUUGGGAACUGCCAUUGAUACUAUUUGUCUUGAAUACCGUGGAGGUGAGCGGAAUAUGUCAUGUAGCGGUGAAAUGCUUAGAUAUGACAUAGAACACCAAUUGCGAAGGCAGCUUGCUACGCGAAUAUUGACACUGAGGCACGAAAGCGUGGGGAUCAAACAGGAUUAGAUACCCCCGUAGUCC